Molecule: ribosomal RNA, 433 nt
Filed under: uncultured bacterium
Lineage: Bacteria
Description: partial 16S ribosomal RNA
Rfam family: Bacterial small subunit ribosomal RNA
Source: RNAcentral
AACGAACGCUGGCGGCAUGCCUAACACAUGCAAGUCGAACGAGACCUUCGGGUCUAGUGGCGCACGGGUGCGUAACGCGUGGGAACCUGCCCUUAGGUUCGGAAUAACUCCCCGACAGGGGUGCUAAUACCGGAUAAUGUCUUCGGACCAAAGAUUUAUCGCCUUUGGAUGGGCCCGCGUUGGAUUAGCUAGUUGGUAGGGUAAAAGCCUACCAAGGCGACGAUCCAUAGCUGGUCUGAGAGGAUGAUCAGCCACACUGGGACUGGGACACGGCCCAGACUCCUACGGGAGGCAGCAGUGGGUAAUAUUGGACAACGGGCGAAGGCCUGAACCAGCAAUGCCGCGUGAGUGAUGAAGGCCUUAGAGUAGUAAAGCUCUUUUACCCGGGAUGAUAAUGACAGUACCGGGAGAAUAAGCACCGGCUAACUCCGUG